GGAUUAGAUACCCUGGUAGUCCACGCUGUAAACGAUGAACACUAGACGCUGGGAGGGUCUACCUUUCGGUGUCGCAGCUAACGCGUUAAGUGUUCCGCCUGGGGAGUACGGCCGCAAGGUUGAAACUCAAAGGAAUUGACGGGGGCCCGCACAAGCGGUGGAGCAUGUGGUUUAAUUCGAUGCGACGCGCAGAACCUUACCUGCCUUUGACAGCCGGGGAACUUGACUGAGAGGUCGAGGUGCCGCAAGGAACCCCGAGACAGGUGCUGCAUGGCUGUCGUCAGCUCGUGCUG
RNAcentral lists this ribosomal RNA (293 nucleotides) under uncultured bacterium. RNAcentral describes it as "partial 16S ribosomal RNA". It matches the Rfam family "Bacterial small subunit ribosomal RNA", at positions 775 to 1067 of the family's 1533-position model. The record is from RNAcentral.